CUCUCAGCUUUACACAGAGACUGUUUUAACUCCAUCUUCCUUGCAUGAAGUGGCUCAAAGAGAGACAACGAGGGAGGGAAAGAGAGGCAUCUGACAAUGUACAUGUCUGUCUGGAUUUGGAGGACUGGAUUUAGAAGCAUUAUGGCUGCAAUGAGCCCCAAAGCACCGCCCACUCCUAUUUGGCAGCCGUGUUAAUCAGUGCUAUUGUUCACACUGAAUGUCACGCCAAAGUGUCAGCUCACGAUCUGCCUGAUCGAUUCAGUGUGUGGCUUAUUGGUAUUAAUGGUCAGAUUCUGAUAAAUGAUUAAAUGUUUAUUCUGUGUCUUGCCCUGUCUUCUGUUUACCACAAUCACCUCCCUUUUUCCACUUGUAAGUCAUGAACGAUAUAACUUUUAACGUCUAGGCUACUUUUUUGUAUAUUAUAUAUAUAUUCAGUUUAUAUUGAAAGUAAACCGGGAAGGUAGAACUGGAGCAGUUGCAGAGUUUUUGUAAUUUCUUUUCAUCAGGUUUCUCCAUGUUAGUACCUUUGACUCAAAAUGAUUACGUUAUAAAUCCUAGAACUCUCAAUUUCAACUGAUUACUUGAGUCCAGCGUAUAUUCAUUUUAAGCCCAGUGUCUCAUACUCCAGUAGAACCACAAUUUUCUUUUGCAGACAAAGGGAUUUUCUGUUCUACUCCAGUGGCUUCAAUUUCUGUAAUAGCACAGUGUUGUGUGUGGAAGACUUUGGGUGUCAAUAAAAAAUUAAAGAUAAAUAAAGAUUUCUUUUCAUUCUUUUCAACUCUUGUGAAGGCAUAUUGUUUUUUUUUUUUCUAAUAAAGCUGUCAUAGAAAGCAGAUCCUCCCAGCAGAUUUUAAAGAAAAGACUAUCUGGCUGAAUCUAAUCCACAGCGUUUUAAAUUAAACCACUGACUC
Molecule: long non-coding RNA, 911 nt
Organism: Solea senegalensis (Senegalese sole)
Lineage: Eukaryota; Metazoa; Chordata; Actinopteri; Pleuronectiformes; Soleidae
Exons: 2
Source: RefSeq, a predicted model, not a curated record